RNAcentral lists this ribosomal RNA (500 nucleotides) under uncultured bacterium. RNAcentral describes it as "partial 16S ribosomal RNA". It matches the Rfam family "Bacterial small subunit ribosomal RNA", at positions 29 to 523 of the family's 1533-position model. The record is from RNAcentral.
AUUGAACGCUGGCGGCAUGCCUUACACAUGCAAGUCGAACGGCAGCACGGGUGCUUGCACCUGGUGGCGAGUGGCGAACGGGUGAGUAAUACAUCGGAACGUAUCUUAUCGUGGGGGAUAACGCAGCGAAAGCUGUGCUAAUACCGCAUACGCCCUGAGGGGGAAAGCGGGGGAUCGAAAGACCUCGCGCGAUUAGAGCGGCCGAUGCCUGAUAGCUUGUUGGUGGGGUAAAAGCCCACCAAGGCGACGAUCAGUAGCUGGUCUGAGAGGACGAUCAGCCACACUGGGACUGAGACACGGCCCAGACUCCUACGGGAGGCAGCAGUGGGGAAUUUUGGACAAUGGGGGCAACCCUGAUCCAGCAAUGCCGCGUGAGUGAAGAAGGCCUUCGGGUUGUAAAGCUCUUUUGUCAGGGAAGAAACACCGGCUCUAACACAGUCCGGGAAUGACGGUACCUGAAGAAUAAGCACCGGCUAACUACGUGCCAGCAGCCGCAGUAA